Molecule: RNA transcript, 1266 nt
Organism: Malus domestica (apple)
Lineage: Eukaryota; Viridiplantae; Streptophyta; Magnoliopsida; Rosales; Rosaceae
Source: RefSeq, a predicted model, not a curated record
AAAGGGAUAAGCGACGAACUUUGAGUGUGAGUCGAAAAAGUGAGAAUUGAGACGGAUUUGAUGGAAAAAAAAAUUUGAUACUUAAUUUUUGGUAGAACCAUUAUUUUGGCCCGUUAAGAUCAAGCUUGAAUCUUUAAUGUUCCAACAGUAACAAAGAAAGCUGAGUUAGUAGGGAUCCAACUACCAAUUACCAAUUACCAAUUACCAACUACCAACCACCAACGACCUUUGAGUUUGUGGCGGAAAAUGAAGGAACGAACAGUGGGAAGGCAGGAAAGAGCAGAGCAGAUUGAGCAGAAGCACCACUAGAGUUGCGGUGGUGGGAAGUGGAAUUCCAGGAGCAGUGUGUGCAUCAACUCUCGGCAGAAACGGAGUGUCUGUAACUUUGCUCGAGUCCGCCAGAGUCCCCGGCCGCCGCAUGUCCCAAUGAAGUUGUAGGGAAGUUGUUGAGGAUGGGAAGGAACUAUUGUUUGACCAUUGUGCUCCAUUUUUCAAUGCCUACAACACCAAGGUUUUGGGUCUUGUUCAUGAGUGGGAAUCAAAGGGUCUUGUUGCUUGCUGGAAAGAGAAAUUUGGCUUCUUUGAUCACAUUUCCAACAAAUUUGUUGACCCAGAAGAGGUGUGGAAAGUAGUUUGGGGCGAGUGUUGGGAGGUUGUAGUGGCUAGAGGAUGAAAAUUUGUGGUCAUUGAUAGGUUCAGAUGGGCAAAAUCUUGGCCAGUUUAAGGGAGUGGUUGCAACGGACAAAAACCUUGUUUCGCUCAGGUUUACAAGUGUUACAGGAAGACAACCACUUCUUGUACCCCUUAAAGGUUUCUCAAUAAGAAGUUCUGAAGUUUUAAGCUGGGCUCACUGUGAAAGCAGCAAGCCUGGCCGUUCUACCUCUAGGGAAGGCCCUUUUCCAGCUGCAAGCGUAGCCAGAGAGGAGAAAUGCCUUUGGGAUAAGAACAAGAGGCUUGCUAUCUGUGGAGAUUUCUGUGUUAGUCCUAAUGUUGAAGGUGCUAUAGCUAGCAGAAUAGCUGCUGCGUCAAAACUCACAGAGAUCCUCAGCAGCUUAUGAUAAUUAAUUAUUAGUGUUAUGACUUAGGACUUUAAUUAGUAAUUUGCUUUCUUUUCAUUUGGUACUUAGUGCUCAAGUGUGUAACAACUUGGUUCGACUCUACUAAGAAAUUAAUCUCAAAAGUAUAAGAACAUGUGUUGUCCAAUAAUCUAUGAAUUAUGAAGUUAUGAACUAUAGAUGAAGAAAUUCCAAUUCUCAUUUCAAGUUC